GGCAGAAAAGUAUGAAAAAGCAUAAAACACCCAAGAGCAGCUUGGUAUACUCAGCCAUUCAUCAGACCGCGUUAUUCUUACCCAGAAAAUUACAAACAACUUACAAAUGCAGCAACUUGAACCACAAAUUGCAGACUGAGCAGUGACGGCAACAUUUGAAAUCCUCGUAGAGAACAUGAAAAACCCGUGUUUCUGUGCACAGAUAUGAGGUCUGUGUUUUGUUUUGGAAGAAUAUUAGUUUUCCUUUGCAUUCUGCUGGGAUGUGAUUACACUGCCUCCAAAUGAGCGCUGCUCUGGGUGUCUGUCUGGCAUUAGUGAAAAUGGCGCAGAAAGUAGCUGUUUGAUGAUUCCCUUUUUAUUGCACUCACACCACAGACUGAUUUUUACCUUUUAAUGUGUCAUUAAGAGUUUCUGAAUGUACUGCAUCCUGUUAAAUUUGUUCAGUAAGCGAUUUAAAUAAUCUCCUGAUUCCAAUAAGAAGGUAAAUAUGUAUAGGAUUCUUCUCAUGUUUCCCUCAGAAGCUCCAGCUGAGGCUCGGUCUGUUGAGGUCAUUAAGACAGUGGGCCAGAGCAGCCUCCUGAUUGGCUGGGAGAGACCGGCGCUUGAUGAGCUGGGCUGCAGUAACGGCACGUUUGUGUAUGGAUACAGGAUUUUUGUAAAUGGCGACUUCCACAAAUCUGUUAUGAGUUCAGCGUGCACAAAGUGCAUUCUGGAGAACAUUGAUCUGUCUGCUCCAGUCCUCAUCAAAGUCCAAACUCUGGGCUCCAAUGGUCUCCGCUCAGACUGUGUCCACACCACAUACAGGAUGUCCGAACAAGACUGACUGUUUCCUGGUUACAGGUGGAACAGAUAAGCUGCCAAAGUGCCACCAAAGCCACGGUGUCUAGAAUGAGCAACCUGACGUCCACAACAGCUGAGAGACGAAGUCCCGGUGCUAGAAUCACUUCAUGCCAAUCAGGCAGAAAUGCUCCCGUCACUUGGUUUUUUAUAUUUCUGCUCAUGGACACGCAGCAACCUGCCUCUUGACCUCAAAAUGAUUACCUGCAGACAAAACUCAACCUCUGCACUCAAACAUGGUCUGAAUUUUGUUUUGUGUUUUUCACCACUCACAAGAAACUGUUUCAGUCCUCUUCAAUGACAAUGAAUGGAAGCAGCAAGAUGAAGAUACGUGGCACUUUCUGAUGAUUAGGAUAGUCGUAAAACCUGCAAAAAGAAAGUUCUAUUUAAAAAUACUCACUUGUGACCCCCGACAUCUACUGACAAGAAUUACGACGUGAAACGGCCUGCAUCUGCUGCACACCUCCACACUGUGUUCAAACGUAAAGAUUGUCCGUUGUGCUGUUUCAGCAAAGAGCCUCACUGCCGCAUCUCUGGACUUUACAACAGAGUCAAUGAAGGCGUUCCUUGUCUGCAUUGAAAGGUUGCUGCGCUCGAUUUUUACACAUGAAGCCAAAUAUGUGAUGGACGACUCACUCCAAAGACUCUUCUGGUAAAUGCCUAUAGGAUUUUAUGUAAAACACAGAUGUUGGAUUUAUCUUUGUUGUGAGAUUUGCACACAAUCAUAAAGGCUAUAAGAAGAAAUUUUAACAAGAGAGUAACUGAGGUAUUUUUUUUGUACAGAAUCUUUUAAAAAAUGCCAAUAUUUCACACACUGUACGUCUUUAUUAAGUGAACCUUUCAUACCUUCUAGAUGUCAAAUUGCACAUGUCGUUUUUAUUUUGUAUUUCAGAAAUGCACAGCACCUGUUCUAUAACUUUGUUGUUCACUGCAUGCAGGACUUUGAAGUGAUCACGAUGCAGCAGAAGUAUUUUUCUAUCAGUAACUGAUAUUGUUGGUUUCUCAUAGAUUCCCAUUAACUACACAGAAAAUAAAUGUUUAAUUAAUAACAAUGUUGUGCCUGGUUUCAUUUCUGCGUUUUUGUUUCUAAAUGUUUUUUUCUUCCUUGACUUUGAAAAAUGAAAAUGUUCCUCUUAUAAACACCAGAUGGCAGCCAGUUGGGUUGAAAACCGCUGGCUGUUCAAAGAGCA
Molecule: long non-coding RNA, 2027 nt
Organism: Oryzias sinensis (Chinese medaka)
Lineage: Eukaryota; Metazoa; Chordata; Actinopteri; Beloniformes; Adrianichthyidae
Source: Ensembl